Pelobates cultripes (western spadefoot toad) is the source of this 535-nucleotide non-coding RNA. NCBI's taxonomy places the organism in Eukaryota, Metazoa, Chordata, Amphibia, Anura, Pelobatidae. The record is from the annotation of a GenBank genome assembly.
CUCUGCCCUUGACACGACCUCCCACUCCACACAAUACCAAACUGCUGCAAGGAAACGGAUAACACACCUCCUUGACCAAGCUAGACUAUUUGACUGCUGGAGAACCACGCACCCACAAGAUAGAGAUUACUCCUUCUACUCCUCAGCCUCACGCUCAUAUUCCAGGAUAGACAUGAUGUUCCUUCCCCAAGAUCACCUGUAUCUGGCCAUCUCCUGCUCCUACGGCCCAAUCACCUAGUCGGAUCAUGCACCUCUAUCUCUGGCCAUACAGAUCCCUACGCUCCCACUAACGUCCUUUCAUUGGAAACUUAAUGAUUUCCUCCUCAAUGACCCCACAAUCACAACACGUGUGACAACUGCACUUACCAACUACUUCCAAGAAAACACGCUACCAACCAUCUCCCCCAUGACCACUUGGGAAGCGCACAAAUGCGUCAUAAGGGGAGAAUUACUAGCAAUAGCGGCCACUCUCAAAAAUAGGAGAACACAGAGGAUAGACACACUCACACGGGAAAUCAGAGCCCUUGAACACACU